GCGGAAGAAUAUUUUGGUUAAUGUAUAUAGCCAUGCGAAAAUGGCUUAUAUAUGUUCGAGCAUAAUGUUAUAAUCAUUUGGUAUGGAAUGGUUAAUCGCUAUCAUGAUUUGUGCUAUUUAUGCAAAAAGGGCUAGUUGAAUCAUGGAAACUAUGAAAUAGGUAAAGUCUACCUUAAAGGCAGAUGCUGGCAGCACAGUGAUGUAGAUUUGGAAAAUCACUAAAAAUAGUAGGAUUGAAAUUAAAUAGUGAAUAAAUUAUGUAAACG
This 266-nucleotide long non-coding RNA is filed under the name Gossypium barbadense (sea-island cotton). RNAcentral's name for it is "long non-coding RNA (GBAR_LNC010666)". Lineage: Eukaryota; Viridiplantae; Streptophyta; Magnoliopsida; Malvales; Malvaceae. The record is from RNAcentral.